UUGUUUGCGCACAAACACCUGCAUAUAAAUAUAACAGCACAAGCAAUGCGAGGUGGUAUCAAAAAUCCACUUCUAGCUAAAUAGUCUCUUUGCGUUACUUAAACUUUAUAUAUACAUAUCGACGUAGCGGCGCUCGCGCGCGCACAACUCGACUUAAUUUCGAUAUAAUUGCCAAAAAUGGCCAAGAACGGCGACUCCGAUCACGAGGAGAAGGCCCACUUCGUGCUGGUCCCUGUGAUGGCCCAGGGCCACACCAUCCCCAUGCUCGACAUGGCCCGCCUCCUCGCCGGCCGUGGCGCCGCCGUCACCUUCGUCACCACCCCUCUCAACUUCGCCCGCAUCAAAUCCCUCGCCGACUCCGUCGCCAACUCUGGCCUGCCGAUCCACUUCCUGCCCCUGCGCUUCCCGUGCGCAGAAUGCGGCCUGCCCGACGGCUGCGAGAACAUUGACGUGCUCCCGUCCAGCGACCUCCUCGCAAGCUUCUGGCGCGCCUGCGCCAUGCUCCGCGAGCCGCUGGCGAGCCACCUGCGCCACAACUCCCCGGCGCCGCCGACCUGCAUUAUAUCCGAUACAGGCCACCCGUGGACCGGGGACGUCGCACGGGAGUUUGGCAUCCCGAGGCUCUGUUUUCCCUGCUUCGGCGCGUUUGCCGCUCUCGUCAGGCACGUCAUGUACCGGUUGAAGAUAUUCGAGAACGUGGCCGACGAGAACGAGCCGGUUNAAAAUUUAUAAUUUUAAUGGCCGAUAUGGUGCAUUUGCUCGUUUAACAGUAUAUAAGGGUUCAAAUCAACUAAAUUUUUGUUAAAAAAUUUUUUAAACUAUUUAAAAUAAGAUCUAGACUCUAGAUUUCAAAUAUAAAAAUUGUAUCAUCAUUUUUUUAAGGAUAUUCAUAUUCCAGCCAUUCAUUUUUCUGUUCACUUGAUGGACAAGAGAACAAUAUCAAAAAUGUGUGAAAUUUAAUUUUCAGAUAGUUUAAAUAGUUUAGAUCAUAUUUAACGGUGCCGAUCAUCAAUUUAGAAGCUCUAUUAUCGAAAAUAAAUCGGUAGUAAACCGAGCCGUUCACUACCGAUAGUAUUCUAGCAAAACUCUCUCUCUCUCUCUCUCUAUAUAUAUAUAUAUAUAUAUAUUGGGUUUUAAAAUUUUAUAGCAUAAAAUUUCAAAUAUUAUAAAAUUUUUAAGUAAAUUCUUCGAAAACAAAAACACGUACGGACAAACCCAUCGACACCGGCCGACGUAUUCUUUACCGCGACGGACAAGCUCUUCACAGAGACAAGCCCACGCAGAGAAACGAGACACACACACACACACACACACACACACACACAUAUAUAUAUAUAUUUGGAUUAUUAUUUGUCUUUUAUAUAAUAUAAAAAAUCUGGCUUAUUAAAUAGCUUAACUGUUACUGCUACCAUUCUUUUAUUUAGCAAGCACAAGAAUCUUCUUACCUCUUUCGCUGCCCCUCCUUAAUAUUUUUGCGCACAAGCACCUGCAUAUAAAUAUGACAGAAGAAGCCAUGCGAGGCGGUAUCCAAAUCCACUUCUAAUAUAUAGUCUCCUUGCAUUAUUACUCUACUUUAUAGGUAUAAUAUCCACGUAGCACCACAAUCUCAUCGCUUGCACCAUCACGAGCAAUUAAUUAACUCCGAUAUAAUUACCAAAAAUGGCCACGAACGGCGACUCCGAUCACGGGGCGAAGGCCCACUUCGUGCUGGUCCCUUUGAUGGCGCAAGGCCACACCAUCCCCAUGCUCGACAUAGCGCGCCUCCUCGCCGGCAGUGGCGCCGCCGUCACCUUCGUUACCACCCCUCUCAACUUCGCCCGGAUAAAAUCCCUCGCCGACUCCGUUGCGAAAUCUCGUCUCCCGAUCCACUUCCUGCCACUGCGCUUCCCGUGCGCAGAAUGCGGCCUGCCCGACGGCUCCGAGAACAUUGACGUGCUCCCGUCUCGCUACUGCCUCGCAAGCUUCUUGCACGCCUGCACCAUGCUCCGCGAGCCGCUGGCGAACCACCUGCGCCGCAACUUCCCGGCGCCACCGACCUGCAUUAUAUCUGAUACAGGGCACCCGUGGACCGGGG
RNAcentral lists this long non-coding RNA (2074 nucleotides) under Ananas comosus (pineapple). Its description in RNAcentral is "long non-coding RNA (ACOM_LNC008033)". Lineage: Eukaryota; Viridiplantae; Streptophyta; Magnoliopsida; Poales; Bromeliaceae. The record is from RNAcentral.